AAGAAAGCAGAGUCCUCUGGCAAUCCCAAUUAUAAGUUUCAACUUGGUUGCCCAAUGACUCUUAGUGGCUAUCUUCUCGGUCAAAGUUCCAUUGGGGAAGUAAUCACACAAAAGGUAGGCUAGAUGCUUGUUAUGGCAAACCCCUAGCAAUCUAGUCAGAUUUUUGUGUCUCACGUUUCCAAUUCGCACUAUGAACUCCAUGCUGACAUUCAUUGUCUUUGCCUCCAGCUCAACCCUUUUCACUGAAACUGUUAUUCCUGUGGGAAGAUUUGCUUGCCAAACAGUGGCUGACAAAGGAGGCACUGGCUUGAUUGAUUCCGUAGCUCCAUAGCUCUUCAGAACAUCGCU
RNAcentral lists this long non-coding RNA (348 nucleotides) under Linum usitatissimum (flax). RNAcentral's name for it is "long non-coding RNA (LUSI_LNC004526)". Lineage: Eukaryota; Viridiplantae; Streptophyta; Magnoliopsida; Malpighiales; Linaceae. The record is from RNAcentral.